This is a long non-coding RNA of Alnus glutinosa, 971 nucleotides long. RefSeq lists it as uncharacterized. The transcript is spliced from 3 exons. Lineage: Eukaryota; Viridiplantae; Streptophyta; Magnoliopsida; Fagales; Betulaceae. The record is from RefSeq and is a predicted model, not a curated record.
CCAUCCUCGUCUACAAGGGGCAUUGUCCGUGAAUUCGUAACUUUUACCGGACCAGGUGUCACUUUUGUUAAUGCAAACUUAUGAGCCACCAGUAUUUGCCUGUGCUGUUAAUGACAUUCUAUCACAAAUAACUGGAGAAAAAUCGUCCUCAAUGCCCACACUAAUAGUCCUAUUUGCCCUGGCAUCAUCAAAGUCUUAGUGGGAAAGCUAACCUUUAACAAAAUAUGAAAGCAAAGCUUCCAUUUAUGGAAUACAGAUAGGCCCAGAAACAGAUGUAACUAAGGCCAUGGCUGCCAGUACCCAGAAGGUGCCAUCAUUGUUGCCGAUUUUUCACGAACCUUCAGCCUGCCUUCUUCAAUUGGUCCAUGUCUUGAAAUUGACAACUUUUGUUCUUAUUGGGCCAAUAAGAGGUCGCAUGUUUCUGAUAAAGCUCUAGGACAAGAACUUGAGGUAUUCAUACUCUGGUUACUUUCAGCUAAUGCGCCUAUAAUUGGUGAAAUUGUUCAUAUUGUAGAUUAGGUAUCUUUAAACUAAGACUUAGAGGCCAUGUUGAGAUAAUGGAUUGUGAAAGCUAUUGCAACCUUUUUCAUGUUUUCCUGUUGAGAAAAGCACUUUGUGGCCGGUUCUUCUCCAGAUACUUUAUGAGAUGGAAGAGCUUUUGGCAAGCGCUUCUGGCCUGUGCGUUUUUAGAGACUGGGUCAUGUGGCAACCAAGAACAGUCUGAUAAACAGACUUGGUUCAUCAAAAACUAGUCCACGGAGAAAGGUAAAUUUUGGAGUCAUACAUGUUUACUUGUAUAGCUUGUCAUUCAUUGAUAUUGCCUUUUAAUCCAUCGCUUGAAGCAGUGUAUAUCUUUGAACCUGUUUCCAUGUGAUUUGGAAAUGAAGGCAUUUUAAUCAUGCCAUUCACUGGUACCUUAGCACUUGCUUUAUUGAUGAACAGAAGCCGUACUUAUAAUGCUAUUCUGGCUA